AUUGAACGCUGGCGGCAGGCCUAACACAUGCAAGUCGAGCGAGCGGCGGACGGGUGAGUAAUGUAUGGGGACUGCCCGAUAGAGGGGGAUAACUACUGGAAACGGUGGCUAAUACCGCAUACUAUCGGAUAACCCAUAUGGGAUUAGCUAGUAGGUGGGGUCAAGGCUCACCGAGGCGACGAUCCCUAGCUGGUCUGAGAGGAUGAUCAGCCACACUGGAGUGGAGACACGGCCCAGCCUCCUACGGAGUCAGCAUUGGUGAAAAUUGCACAAUGGGCGCAAGACUGAUGCAGCCAUGCCGCGUGUAUGAAGAAGGCCUUAGGGUGGUAAAGUACUUUCAGCGGGGAGGCGUUACCCGCAGAAGAAGCACCGGCUAACUCCGUGCCAGCAGCCGCGGUAAUAC
RNAcentral lists this ribosomal RNA (403 nucleotides) under uncultured bacterium. RNAcentral's name for it is "partial 16S ribosomal RNA". It matches the Rfam family "Bacterial small subunit ribosomal RNA", at positions 30 to 526 of the family's 1533-position model. The record is from RNAcentral.